AUGUCAGAGGAAUGUGAUGGGUCAGACUGCAACAAACAGGAUGGAAGCCCAGCAGGAAAUAGUGCAGAGUCACCAGAACUUCCCCAUCAGGGCUAUGUUUAUUCCUCAUCUAUGAAUCAGGAUCUUCAAAGUUUUUCAAAUAAUGGCAUUCUUUCAAACCAUGCCAGUUUAGCAUCACAGAAUAUCCUGAGUUGGAAGGGAUCCACAAGAAUCAUCAAUUUGAUGACCAGUUUUCUUCACUGCUUGUGCCUGUGUGUACACAUGUAUACAGACAGAGACAGAAGCAUAAUGCAUCAAAGCAGCAAAAUUAUUCAAUGUCAUGCUCAAAAAGGGUCAGUGUCCUGUAGGUGCCAUGCAAAAGUUAUUUAA
This is a long non-coding RNA of Cyanistes caeruleus (blue tit), 369 nucleotides long. NCBI's taxonomy places the organism in Eukaryota, Metazoa, Chordata, Aves, Passeriformes, Paridae. The record is from Ensembl.